Long non-coding RNA from Felis catus (domestic cat), 1532 nucleotides. RefSeq lists it as uncharacterized. The record is from RefSeq and is a predicted model, not a curated record. The transcript is spliced from 3 exons. NCBI's taxonomy places the organism in Eukaryota, Metazoa, Chordata, Mammalia, Carnivora, Felidae.
GAUGGCUCUGGUUUUCAUUAUGACCUGAUCCCUUUUCUGCCCGGAGGGUGGGCCUCCGGAGACAGUGCCCUGCCCUGGGGCGCAUCUGGCUAAACGGCCGCUGGGCACCUGGGGUUGCUGAACAGCCCUGGCCGAGGCCCGGCCCCUCGGGAACCUGUCUGCACAUCCACAGAAGGAGCGUAAGCCUUAGGUGUUCUCAGGGGUCCCCCCAGCUGCGACUUUGAUCCCACUUCACAGAUGAUAAACUGAAGACCACGAGGAGAAGUGACUCAGCCCCGCUCACCUUGGCUGUGUGCCCUGAAGCCUCCUCCCAAACAGGCCACCAAUGUUACCUCGUUCUGCUUCAGGAAGACUUGAGGGGAGGGACACUGUGGCCCUGGGACAAGAAGCUUGACAGGGGCAGCCCCCUGGCCUGGGAAGAGCUGGAUGAUUCUGCUCAAACCCCUGACUCGCUGUGUGGCUUUGGGCAAGACCUUGCCCCUCUCUGGGCAUAUCUUUCUCGCAGCACAGCACAGCUCACUGAACAUCCCUGGAUCGGGCAGCAGCCUCCACCACAUCCCUUCCUGAGCAGCCUGGAAGCCCUGCGGGGGCCUAACGGGGCAGGUGGCCAUGAUGGGGACAGAGGUCCAGGGGCGGGCCAAUAAACCCAGAGCUGCGCCAACACCCAGCAUUUACAGAGCACCCCCUACCUAUAUGCAUUCAGCAGCGCACCAGUGGAGAAGAGGGGACCCCUGUCAUCUGGCACACUGGAGCGCCCGUUCUUGUCCCCGGGAAUGCUGAAGCAAGUCCCUCCUCCUUGCACCCUAUUGCCCCUAAGGAGUCUUGACCCCACCUGAAGGGAUCCCGUCCAACAUCUCCUUCUUAGAGCUGCCAACCUCUAGUCCCCUGGCCGGAGAGAAGGGACCCCCAGAAAGCUGAUGGCAGACUUUACUGAAGAUUGUGUUUGGGCUCUGAGCACGAGGAGUGGGGUGAUUUUCUGAGAACAGAGGAGCGGGGACUUCACAAAAAAAAAGACCAUAAGCCUCCAGUGGGCCCAAGACUGGGACCUCCUCCCUAACCCUCCGGCCAUAUGGCAGCGGCCUAGGGAGGAAGUCCCGGAUGAGGGGCCACAAAGGAACAACCUAGCAGAAAGUGAGCCUGGGGUCACGGCGAGGCAGCAGGACUGGCCUUACUUGGCACCUAAGGGAGGGAGUCAGGGAUAAGGCCGGAGGCUAACGCCUUGUAGGUUCUACCUUCCAGAGGUGGCUACUGAUUUCAGCGGCAUGUGGGCACCUCCGUGCUCCUGGAAGACAGAGCCUGUGAACCUGGGUUCCGGGAGGUAGGUAUGGGGGCGGGGGCAGGAGGUCCCCAGCACUUUACCCCAGGGCUCCAACCUGGGCACAGGGAGCAAAGAAUAAAGUAGAACGGAUCACAGGCAGUGCAGCACUCCCAGAUGGGUACGCCCCCUACGAAAUGGGCAGCAGGGUGAGGGGCCAGGAGAACCUCCCAGAACAGAAGACCAUCUCUAAUGAAACACUUUCCUGUGACCUCCC